This is a long non-coding RNA of Topomyia yanbarensis, 1330 nucleotides long. RefSeq lists it as uncharacterized. The record is from RefSeq and is a predicted model, not a curated record. The transcript is spliced from 3 exons. Lineage: Eukaryota; Metazoa; Arthropoda; Insecta; Diptera; Culicidae.
UGUUGUUUACCUUUUCAGUAGUAAAAAAUUUGCGACAACCGGAGCAGCACGUAAUUUGUAGCUGUUUAUAAACAUUAAAAUCUUUCGUGGAAGUGUGAUGGAUGAAUGGAGUUUUUAGAAGAAGUGUGACCAAAACGAAUGAGGCAAUGGGUUGAGACACUACAAAUGUAUAAUAUACGUUCCAUUUUUUUUAUUUUCACGUAACUAAGCCACGCUCGGCAUGGUUUCUUUGAGGUACAAACAGAAUGAUAAUCGAAAAUCAGAUCCCUAUCAAGGUUAUGCGAUGAUCAGAUAUGAACGACAAGAAUAUUGCAACGCACGUUAUCGCAUUUGAUAUUUCGCGUUAAUUUCUUUUGUGUCAUGUGUAGGACUUACAAGACGAUAAACUAUAUAUGUAGUUGACAGGGACCAGUAACUACUAAUUCUUCUAUCAAUGCAUCGUCUGCUUGAUUCUACACUUGAAAAGUUUUGCGUUUUGGCACUUUGGACGAACGUAGACUCAAUCGCAUUGAAGCAUAGGUCGCAAAUGGAAAGUAUCAAUCGAGUUGAGCUGGAGCUCCAAAUGAAACGGUAGGAAGUGCUCCAGGAACAUUUAAAUCGUUGCGGUUGAAAGUACACUGGAAAAUCGAUGAAUGUACACCAUAACGUGAUUAUUUGCCGAAUAUUCGACCGCUACCGCUGUAACUAAAUAGAUAGUUUUAAAGUUCCAUUUCUUAAUAUAGCAAGUAUUUCGCGAAGGUAAAUCAUUACAGAAGUUUUAAGGUGCCAAAUUCAAUUUACAAAGGUCACAGUUAAUGAUAAACACCAUUAAAAGAUGAUAACAAUAGAGAGUAAUAAUUAUGUAUUGUACUGAACGGGUCGGACGUGUAAAUAAAUGUUGGAAGGUUUUGUGGAAAAACUGGAAAAAUAUGAUUUAAGAAAUAAAGGUAAAUCUCAUUUAGAGAAAUAUAACUUUACUACGUCGUGUUUCGCUCGUUAGGCCACAGCCUCUGUCUAACUAACGAAUUUGAUUCGGGCAACUAUUAGAUUCCAAUUUCCAGCUCUGAUUGUAGUCACGACGCAUCGGUUGUGUUUCAGACAUUACCCAUCCAUCUUAUUUGCAGAUGUGAUCGCCAUUGUCUCGAUAGGCGUGAACCGAAAUUAAGUAAAAGCGAAUUAAUAGGCCGUUGAAAAAUCGACAAUUUUUGACAUUCCAAAUGCACAAGAGUCUCUGUAUCAAAAUGACUUUUUUAACUUUUCAUGAAAGUAUUUUUAAUGAGAAGAUAAAUGCUUAUGAAAAAAUCGCAAAAAUGACAAUUUUGAUAAUGUUGUCUCAGAAUCGUACAAUGUU